This 282-nucleotide small RNA is filed under the name fish gut metagenome. Its description in RNAcentral is "5' ureB small RNA". It matches the Rfam family "5' ureB small RNA". The record is from RNAcentral.
CUGCUGAGGGGAUAUAUAAUGCACAUGCGUAUCUAUUGCACCGGCAGUAAGAAUCAUUCCUUCUCCGGAUAUAACCUCUGUUAUUGUUCCGAUGAUAAGGCCCGGAGUGACGUCAGGCUGGAUAUGCGGAUUACCCGCUUUUCCGAUUCCUCUGAUCAUUCCGUCUUUUAUACCGAUAUCGGCUUUGACGAUUCCUGUAUAGUCUAUUAUCAGGGCAUUUGUGAUUACAAGGUCAAGAACUUCGCUGUCGGCAUAUCCCGAAGCCUGUCCCAUACCGUCGCG